AAUCAACGCUGGCGGCGUGCCUAACACAUGCAAGUCGAACGAGAAAGUGGAGCAAUCCAUGAGUAAAGUGGCGACCGGGUGAGUAACACGUGACUAACCUACCUUCGAGUGGGGGAUAACCUCGGGAAACCGGGGCUAAUACCGCAUAACAUCUUUGAAGUGGAAAUUUCGGAGAUCAAAGGAGCAAUUCGCUGGAAGAGGGGGUCGCGGCUGAUUAGCUAGUUGGCGGGGUAACGGCCCACCAAGGCUAGAUCGGUAGCCGGCCUGAGAGGGCGCACGGCCACACUGGAACUGAAACACGGUCCAGACUCCUACGGGAGGCAGCAGUGGGGAAUUUUGCGCAAUGGGGGAAACCCUGACGCAGCAACGCCGCGUGGAGGAUGAAGUCCCUUGGGACGUAAACUCCUUUCGACCCGGACGAUAAUGACGGUACGGGUGGAAGAAGCCCCGGCUAACUUCGUGCCAGCAGCCGCGGUAAG
This 479-nucleotide ribosomal RNA is filed under the name uncultured bacterium. RNAcentral's name for it is "bacterial SSU rRNA". It matches the Rfam family "Bacterial small subunit ribosomal RNA", at positions 32 to 524 of the family's 1533-position model. The record is from RNAcentral.